Bos taurus (domestic cattle) is the source of this 953-nucleotide long non-coding RNA. The record is from Ensembl. Lineage: Eukaryota; Metazoa; Chordata; Mammalia; Artiodactyla; Bovidae.
UUUUCUUCCGGCCCAAGGUUGACUAAUACUAGUCUUUCUAGUUUCUGGCUGGUGUUGCUUUUUUUAAAUCAAAAUAUCUCUCAAAUCUUUUUAUAAUCUAUGAGCUUCUUCUGCCACUUAAACUUUUUUUUGGGGGGGUCAAGACAAAUUUUUUGGAGCAGUUUUAAUGGCACAGCAAAAUUUAGGGGAAGGGACAGAGUUCGUCGUAUUCAAACAUUUCUCCUUUCACUCACUGACUCAGUUGAGAUGGACGAGCAGACGGGCCGUUGCCAUGGCACUGGAUAGGCGCUCUGAUUGGCAGCAAGUGAGGACCAGGGAACAAGGCCGGGAUCUGAGGAAGAGUGUAAUGUGAGUCCAGAACGUGACUGAAGGUGGAGAGCUGGGAGAGUAAAGAGAGGGGGAAAGCAACUGGACGAGAAGGAAGUGGACAGAGACGUGCGCCUCCAGCCCGCGGUUCCCUUUUUCAUCAGCAGCAGGGCUCCAGGCUCCUGCUUUCUCUGUGGAGCCGCCGGGCCUGGCACUGCAGCCGGGACAACCUCUUGGCUGGACUUGCCCCAUCUGUGAACCAGGGAGAUUCAGACAGAGCCCGUCAGCUCACGGGCCCCGGGCCAGCCCACGUGCCCUGCGUGACUACUGAGCAUGGAGCGCUCUGCAGCAGAGAUGGACUCGACUGCAUUUCAACGAUAUUUAUGACAUAACCACCAUGUGCUGAGCGCCGCAGGAGGGAAGAAGGCACCCUGCUCCUGGGGGCUGGCGGCUCCUGUGGGUGAGCCUCUCUCUUGUUUGCCAGCCACCUCUGAGAAGUCCUCCCUGACCUCCCCUCGUCCUAAAAGUGGCUGGUACUUCUGGGCUGCCCUUUUACAGCCUCCUUCCUGUUGCGUUCUUGGCAUGCUGGCUGCUUCCCCCGACAUCAGUGGGGUCUGAGGGAGGGGCCGCAUGGAGACCCCCAUCAU